RNAcentral lists this ribosomal RNA (581 nucleotides) under uncultured Alphaproteobacteria bacterium. RNAcentral describes it as "partial 16S ribosomal RNA". The record is from RNAcentral. Lineage: Bacteria; Pseudomonadati; Pseudomonadota; Alphaproteobacteria.
GGGAGCUCUCCCAUAUGGUCGACCUGCAGGCGGCCGCGAAUUCACUAGUGAUUCGUAUUACCGCGGCUGCUGGCACGGAGUUAGCCGGAGCUUAUUCUCCCGGUACUGUCAUUAUCAUCCCGGGUAAAAGAGCUUUACAACCCUAAGGCCUUCAUCACUCACGCGGCAUUGCUGGAUCAGGCUUUCGCCCAUUGUCCAAUAUUCCCCACUGCUGCCUCCCGUAGGAGUCUGGGCCGUGUCUCAGUCCCAGUGUGGCUGAUCAUCCUCUCAGACCAGCUAAGGAUCGUCGCCUUGGUGCGCCUUUACCACACCAACUAGCUAAUCCUACGCGGGCUCAUCCCUCGGCGAUAAAUCUUUGGACUUACGUCGUCAUCCGGUAUUAGCAGUCAUUUCUAACUGUUAUUCCGAACCAAGGGGCAGAUUCCCACGCGUUACGCACCCGUGCGCCACUAAGGCCGAAGCCUUCGUUCGACUUGCAUGUGUUAGGCAUGCCGCCAGCGUUCGUUCUGAGCCAUGAUCAAACUCUAAUCGAAUUCCCGCGGCCGCCAUGGCGGCCGGGAGCAUGCGACGUCGGGCCCAAU